UACGAAGGGUGCAAGCGUUAAUCGGAAUUACUGGGCGUAAAGCGUGCGUAGGCGGUGAGUUAAGUCUGUCGUGAAAGCCCCGGGCUCAACCUGGGAACUGCAUUGGAAACUGGCGAGCUUGAAUGCGGCAGAGGGGGGUGGAAUUCCGCGUGUAGCAGUGAAAUGCGUAGAGAUCCGGAGGAACACCAGCGGCGAAGGCGGCAUCCUGGACUGGUCCUGACACUCAGGAGCGAAAGCGUGGGGAGCGAUCCGG
Molecule: ribosomal RNA, 253 nt
Filed under: uncultured bacterium
Lineage: Bacteria
Description: partial 16S ribosomal RNA
Rfam family: Bacterial small subunit ribosomal RNA
Source: RNAcentral